UACGUAGGGGGCGAGCGUUGUCCGGAUUUACUGGGCGUAAAGGGCAUGCAGGCGGUCCGACACGUUUUGUGUGACAGCGGGUGGCUUAACUACCCGAGGAUACGAAAGACGGUAGGACUUGAGGACUCGAGAGGGACACGGAAUUCCGGGUGGAGUGGUGAAAUGCGUAGAGAUCCGGAGGAACACCGAAGGCGAAGGCAGUGUCCUGGCGAGUGACUGACGCUGAGGUGCGAAAGCCAGGGGAGCGAACGGG
RNAcentral lists this ribosomal RNA (253 nucleotides) under uncultured bacterium. Its description in RNAcentral is "partial 16S ribosomal RNA". It matches the Rfam family "Bacterial small subunit ribosomal RNA", at positions 524 to 776 of the family's 1533-position model. The record is from RNAcentral.